GGUGCCUUGGCUUAAUUGGUUACAGCACCCAUCUACUAAACAGAAGGUUCUGGGUUUGAAUCCCACUGGUGCCU
This 74-nucleotide transfer RNA is filed under the name Lepisosteus oculatus (spotted gar). It matches the Rfam family "tRNA". Rfam says of the family: Transfer RNA (tRNA) molecules are approximately 80 nucleotides in length. Their secondary structure includes four short double-helical elements and three loops (D, anti-codon, and T loops). The record is from Rfam by way of RNAcentral. Lineage: Eukaryota; Metazoa; Chordata; Actinopteri; Semionotiformes; Lepisosteidae.